Rhododendron vialii is the source of this 2582-nucleotide RNA transcript. It is a transcript of the gene named ERAD-associated E3 ubiquitin-protein ligase component HRD3A, with no coding region annotated. Lineage: Eukaryota; Viridiplantae; Streptophyta; Magnoliopsida; Ericales; Ericaceae. The record is from RefSeq and is a predicted model, not a curated record. The transcript has 7 exons.
GCAAACAACUACUCCCCCGGAAGGCUGUUAAUUCCAGGUUUUAUCUUUUUCUUUUUUCUGAGGGAGCCUGUUAAUUUACACUAUACUGCAUCAACCAAACUCAGGGAGAGAGAGAGAGAGAGAGAGAGAGAGAGAGAGAGCGAGGGAGGGAGAAGAGAGAGAUGACCCGUCGCACCAGAACCAGAAACAACUGGUUCUUCUUGUUGUUGUUGGCAAUCGUGCUGUUGUAUCUACUCCCUCUCUCCGCCAUCGCCCGACCGUUCGUCCUCGUACUCUCUCAAGACGACCUCAUCGACGCCCCGCCUUCCACCACCGAGGAUGACUCCUCCUCCGAGUGGGACGAGUUCGGCGACUCCAACACCAAGCCCGAGGACCUCGAUCCUGGAUCCUGGCGCCCGAUCUUCGAGCCCACUGCAGCAGAUCCAGCAGCAGCGUCCGAGUAUGAGAACGAGGAGGAGGAGGCGCUGUUCUACUCGGGCAUCACCAAUAUGGUCUCCUCCGUGAGUUCCGGCGAGCCUAGGUUGAUGGAGGAGGCUGCGUCUGAGAUCGAGGCCUCUGCCUCUGGGGGAUAUCCCCACGCCCAGUCUGCCCUAGGGUUUCUUUACAAUUUGGGGAUGACUAGGGAAUGGAACAGAGCCAAGGCAUUUAUGUACCAUUACUUUGCCGCCAAGGGGGGCAAUAUGCAGUCCAAGAUGGCUUUGGCUUACACCUAUUCUCGUCAAGAUAUGUAUGAUAAAGCAGUCAAGCUAUAUGCUGAACUAGCAGAGGUGGCCGUGAACAGUUUCUUGAUUUCAAAGGACUCACCUGUGAUUGAACCGGUUAGGAUCCAUAAUGGAGCAGAGGAGAAUAAGGAGGCCUUAAGGAAAUCCCGUGGGGAGGAGGAUGAGGAUUUCCAGAUUCUGGAAUACCAAGCUCAGAAAGGAAAUGCUGGAGCCAUGUACAAAAUUGGUAUAUUCUACUACUUUGGCUUGAGAGGAGUGAGGCGUGAUCAUGCCAAGGCAUUGUCAUGGUUUUUGAAGGCUGUGGAGAAGGGUGAACCGAGGUCCAUGGAACUUCUUGGGGAGAUAUAUGCAAGAGGGGCUGGAGUUGAGAGGAAUUACACUAAGGCGUUCGAGUGGCUAAAACUUGCUUCCAGACAGCAACUUUAUUCAGCUUAUAAUGGAAUGGGGUAUUUAUAUGUUAAGGGUUAUGGAGUGGAGAAGAAGAACAACACCAAGGCAAAAGAAUACUUUGAAAAGGCUGCUGAUAAUGACGAAGCUGGUGGGCAUUAUAAUCUGGGAGUGAUGUAUCUCAAAGGCAUCGGGGUAAAAAGGGAUGUGAAGCUAGCAUGCAAAUACUUCAUACUGGCUGCGAAUGCAGGUCAACCAAAGGCAUUUUAUCAGCUGGCAAAGAUGUUUCAUACCGGUGUGGGGCUUAAGAAAAACCUCCCUAUGGCAACUGCAUUGUACAAACUAGUUGCAGAACGGGGACCCUGGAGUUCCUUGUCUCGGUGGGCGUUAGAGGCAUACUUGAAAGGUGAUGUGGGCAAAGCAUUCUUUUUGUACUCGAGAAUGGCUGAGUUAGGCUAUGAGGUGGCACAAAGUAAUGCUGCGUGGAUUCUUGAUAAAUAUGGGGAACGUAGUAUGUGCAUGGGAGAAUCAGGUUUCUGUAGUGAUGCAGAAAGACAUUUGCGUGCUCAUUCUUUGUGGUGGCAAGCUUCUGAGCAGGGCAAUGAACAUGCUGCUUUGUUGAUCGGAGAUGCAUAUUAUUAUGGCCGGGGUACUGAGAAAGAUUAUGAUCGUGCUGCAGAGGCUUAUAUGCAUGCUAAAUCCCAGUCUAAUGCACAGGCCAUGUUCAACCUUGGAUACAUGCAUGAACAUGGUCAAGGACUUCCAUUUGAUCUUCAUCUUGCCAAGCGUUACUAUGAUCAGGCACUAGAGAUUGAUCCUGCAGCAAAGUUGCCUGUGACGCUGGCCCUCAGUAGCUUGUGGGUGCGAAAAAACUACGCAAACAGUUUCCUGGUUGAUGUGAUUGAUUCCCUGCCUGAAGUCUAUCCGAAAGUGGAAGCAUGGGUAGAAAAUGUGAUCAUGGAGGAAGGAAAUGCAACAAUACUCACUCUCUUUGUUUGCCUGCUAACUGUACUUUACCUUCGAGAGCGGCAACGAAGGCUUGCUGUCGCUGGGGAGGCGGCGCUGCCACAGCAACUUAACGACCUCGUUGCACCUGUAGUAGCCAAUUAACGGACCGGUGGCUCUAGUGGUAUUCUGGAAGACGAUAGUAUACAUCCCUAUCCUUGUGUGAAAGGGCACUGGAGUGAAUGAAAAAGAUGAAGAGCCAUUCGCAGAGUACGUGAUAGCAGAGCAGCAAGAUGAAGAUGAACGAUCGGAGCCGUGGAUGUACCAGUAGUUUUGUUUGACUUAGAUGGCUCUAUUUUUUGUUUUUUGUUUUUCUCCUUUUUAAGUUGAACAAUUUCUUAUUUGAGAAUUUCAGACAAUGUUGUGUUUUUGAUAAAUUUUAUUUGGUAAUAAGUUGGUAAAUUGUCUCUUACCGUUAGAAAUUGGAGACUUUUAAUAUAGGAUAAAUUUAGCAUUUUUUAAAUAAAA